ACGCAAAAUUCAUGGUGUUUGCUA
Molecule: non-coding RNA, 24 nt
Filed under: Arabidopsis thaliana (thale cress)
Lineage: Eukaryota; Viridiplantae; Streptophyta; Magnoliopsida; Brassicales; Brassicaceae
Source: RNAcentral